AAAAUCUGAAUAGGUCUAAUUGGGUCUGUUUCGGUUAGACCUUUAAUUGAGUCUUAAUUUCGUUCAGAGGCUAAAAAUACAGAAAAUACACGCCUCUUUUUUUCGGUGCUCCUUUUCUCUCUCUUGAAAUCAGGCUAUUUCUUCUAAACCCAAAACAACUUUCAUCCUUCACGUGUCUCUCUCUUCAACGAUCAAGCAGCCGCCGAAUCUUUUUCUUGACAAAUACUAUAUAUGUGAUGUGACAUAUCCUAACACUCGAGGAUUUCUAGCACCAUAUCGUAAUAUUCGAUAUUGGUUAGGAGAUUAUCAUCGCAGGCGUGCUAUAACUAAGGAGAAAAAAUUUAAUCAUACGCAUACACAAAUUAGAAAUGUCAUCGAGCGUGCUUAUGGAGUGUUGAAAGCAAGAUUCCCGAUAUUGGAUAAGAUGCCUCCAUAUCCUGUUGAUAUCCAAAGAGAUGUUGUUAUUGCAUAUUUUGUGGUUAAUAAUUUUAUCAAAAAGGAGCGCAUCAAUGAUGAUUUGUUUAAUCAGUUUGAUUUGCCUCAAGUAAUAUUUGACGAAGAACAACAACAUGAAGAAGUAUAGGGUAAAACUUAUGGACUUAGCUGGACAGUUGAAGAUUCUCAGAUGAUGAAUGAUAUGCGCGAGCAACUCGCACUCAAACUAGUACAAAGAAGAGGAAAUACUUGAGAGUUUUUAAUUUUUAGUUAUUUAAAGUAUUGUUUUUUCCGGUGUUUGAAUGUUACAACUUGAUCUGAUUAUCAAUUAGUUCUUCAAAUAUUCUAA
Molecule: long non-coding RNA, 784 nt
Organism: Nicotiana tabacum (common tobacco)
Lineage: Eukaryota; Viridiplantae; Streptophyta; Magnoliopsida; Solanales; Solanaceae
Source: RefSeq, a predicted model, not a curated record